AAUGAACGCUGGCGGCGUGCGUAACACAUGCAAGUCGAACGAGAAAUUCCGGGCUUGCUCGGGAGAGUAAAGUGGCGAACGGGUGAGUAACGCGUGGGUAACCUGCCCCUGAAUCUGGAAUAACUUCGCGAAAGCGAGGCUAAUACCGGAUAUUGUCCCAGGGACCUCGGUCCUUGUGAUGAAAGAUGACCUCUUCACGAAAGUUGUCGUUCAGGGAGGGGCCCGCGUACCAUUAGCUAGUUGGUAGGGUAAUGGCCUACCAAGGCGAAGAUGGUUAGCUGGUCUGAGAGGAUGACCAGCCACACUGGCACUGAAACACGGGCCAGACUCCUACGGGAGGCAGCAGUGAGGAAUUUUGCGCAAUAGGGGAAACCCUGACGCAGCAACGCCGCGUGAGUGAAGAAGGCCCUCGGGUCGUAAAGCUCUGUCAAGUGGGAAAAAAGCUUACUGGUAAAUAGCCAGCAAGACUGAUGGUACCAUUGAAGGAAGCACCGGCUAACUCCGUGC
Molecule: ribosomal RNA, 507 nt
Filed under: delta proteobacterium enrichment culture clone C1_H5
Lineage: Bacteria; Deltaproteobacteria
Description: bacterial SSU rRNA
Rfam family: Bacterial small subunit ribosomal RNA
Source: RNAcentral